RNAcentral lists this ribosomal RNA (425 nucleotides) under uncultured bacterium. RNAcentral describes it as "bacterial SSU rRNA". It matches the Rfam family "Bacterial small subunit ribosomal RNA", at positions 355 to 772 of the family's 1533-position model. The record is from RNAcentral.
UGAGGAAUAUUGGUCAAUGGACGGAAGUCUGAUUCAGCCAUGCCGCGUGAGUGAAGAAGGCCUUCGGGUUGUAAAGCUCUUUCAGACGGAAAGAAAACUUCUGGGCUAAUACCCUGGGAGGAUGCCGGUACCGUAAGAAGAAGCACCGGCUAACUACGUGCCAGCAGCCGCGGUAAUACGUAGGGUGCGAGCGUUAAUCGGAAUUACUGGGCGUACAGCGUGCGCAGGCGGUGAUGUAAGACAGAUGUGAAAUCCCCGGACUCAACCUGGGAACUGCGUUUGUGACUGCAUCACUCGAGUACGGCAGAGGGAGGUGUAAUGCCGCGUUUAGCAGUGAAAUGCGUAGAGAUGAGGGGGAAAACCGAUGGCGAAGGCAGCCUCCUGGGCCAGUACUGACACUGAGGCACGAAAGCGGGGGGAGCAAA